UACAGGGGGGGCAAGCGUUGUUCGGAAUUACUGGGCGUAAAGGGUUCGUAGGUGGCCAACUUAGUCAGACGUGAAAUCCCUCAGCUUAACUGGGGAACUGCGUCUGAUACUGGAUGGCUUGAGUGCAGGAGAGGAACGCGGAAUUCCAGGUGUAGCGGUGGAAUGUGUAGAUAUCAGGAAGAACAUCGGUGGCGAAGGCGGCUUGCUGGGCCAUUACUGACGCUGAGACACGAAAGCGUGGGGAGCAAACGGG
This 253-nucleotide ribosomal RNA is filed under the name uncultured bacterium. RNAcentral describes it as "partial 16S ribosomal RNA". It matches the Rfam family "Bacterial small subunit ribosomal RNA", at positions 524 to 776 of the family's 1533-position model. The record is from RNAcentral.